GCUGGGGCUGGGGCUCAGUGGUAAAGUACUUGCCUCGCAUGUGUGAGGCACUGGGUUCGAACCUCAGCACCACAUCA
RNAcentral lists this transfer RNA (77 nucleotides) under Marmota monax (woodchuck). Its description in RNAcentral is "tRNA.Ala". Lineage: Eukaryota; Metazoa; Chordata; Mammalia; Rodentia; Sciuridae. The record is from RNAcentral.